UGUUUUCUGGUAGCGCCGGAGAAAAAUUCGCAAUUAAACAUGUAAUCAUGCUACGUUAAGUUAUUUCCGCCUUGAACGCAACUUAAUUGCCCGCGAUAAUGGAUUCGACGAUCGUUGUUGCAAUCGUUCCAAGAAACAUCAUUCUGUUGCAAGAUUUUCGACGCGCGCCGACGCGAUUCAACCGGAAAACGACUUAUCGAUCGUUUUUCACUGUUUUUAUUUCGAAAUAUUCGAUUCAUCGUUGCGUGUUCCGCGCCCAACAUCUUUACGUUUGCAUAAGUUAUCGGCGAAACGAGACGGUGCAAAUAGAGAUUAACGGUCGCGAACAGAAGUCACGUGUGAGACUAGAAAAGCAGCAGUGUCGGCGUCGUUAGUAUUAGUUAUUAUCUGCCGACCUUCUUUCGCAGAGAACGCUGUCAUCCAACCACACUUCCGAUCCCACUAACUGCAAACUCAAAGAGCAUUUCGAUGAUUCUUCUUCAUUUUACCAAGCUGAUAUCUAUGCAGGAAAUACAUUCGAUGAGAAACGAGAACUCGUUUAAUUAAUUGCGGAUACAAAGUACAUUUUGAUGAUUCUUCGAUGAUUUGGCGAAACUACGAGGCAAUAAUAUUCGAACUGAGACAAGUGGAAAAAUAAUAGAUCGAAAUGUAUGUGUAUUUUAGUAUGUUAACUCUGUAACAUAAUACGAUACUCCAUGGCUAAAAUAAAGCCAGACAGACUAAUUAUCAUGGAUACUAAUUUAAUAACUGUACAAUAAUAGGUAGACUGUAAAUGUUUAUGGAAAACAUAAAGGUGCAAAACUGUACGCAACAUGCAAGGAUAUAGAAAAUAUGUAAAGUAAAAUAAGCUUAAAAUAAAGUGAAGUAUGUAAAAUAAACUUGUUACAAUGUGUGUAAUGUA
Bombus terrestris (buff-tailed bumblebee) is the source of this 901-nucleotide long non-coding RNA. RefSeq lists it as uncharacterized. The record is from RefSeq and is a predicted model, not a curated record. Lineage: Eukaryota; Metazoa; Arthropoda; Insecta; Hymenoptera; Apidae. The transcript has 2 exons.